UAGUUUGAUUCCUGGCUCAGAUUGAACGCUGGCGGCAGGCCUAACACAUGCAAGUCGACGGUAGCACAGAGGAGCUUGCUCCUUGGGUGACGAGUGGCGGACGGGUGAGUAAUGUCUGGGAAACUGCCCGAUGGAGGGGGAUAACUACUGGAAACGGUAGCUAAUACCGCAUAACGUCGCAAGACCAAAGAGGGGGACCUUCGGGCCUCUUGCCAUCGGAUGUGCCCAGAUGGGAUUAGCUAGUAGGUGGGGUAACGGCUCACCUAGGCGACGAUCCCUAGCUGGUCUGAGAGGAUGACCAGCCACACUGGAACUGAGACACGGUCCAGACUCCUACGGGAGGCAGCAGUGGGGAAUAUUGCACAAUGGGCGCAAGCCUGAUGCAGCCAUGCCGCGUGUAUGAAGAAGGCCUUCGGGUUGUAAAGUACUUUCAGCGAGGAGGAAGGCGUUGUGGUUAAUAACCNCARCGAUUGACGUUACUCGCAGAAGAAGCACCGGCUAACUCCGUGCCAGCAGCCGCGGUAAUACGGAGGGUGCAAGCGUUAAUCGGAAUUACUGGGCGUAAAGCGCACGCAGGCGGUCUGUCAAGUCGGAUGUGAAAUCCCCGGGCUCAACCUGGGAACUGCAUCCGAAACUGGCAGGCUAGAGUCUUGUAGAGGGGGGUAGAAUUCCAGGUGUAGCGGUGAAAUGCGUAGAGAUCUGGAGGAAUACCGGUGGCGAAGGCGGCCCCCUGACAAAGACUGACGCUCAGGUGCGAAAGCGUGGGGAGCAAACAGGAUUAGAUACCUGGG
Molecule: ribosomal RNA, 791 nt
Filed under: Citrobacter freundii
Lineage: Bacteria; Pseudomonadati; Pseudomonadota; Gammaproteobacteria; Enterobacterales; Enterobacteriaceae
Description: bacterial SSU rRNA
Rfam family: Bacterial small subunit ribosomal RNA
Source: RNAcentral